CUGCUUUAAAGGCUUUGCUCUUGAUCCGAGCGUUGUAAUAUCGGGCAACUUUCUGUCUGUAGGCUGCCAUUCGAACCUGAGCAAUCUCCCGCCUUUCUUCCAGCAGGUCGAGGUUGGCUCUGAGACUUUGUGCAUUUUGGGGUUCAUCGAAUGUCACGACUCGUACCGACGGGAGUUUAAGCUCGAUCGGGAUGACGGCUU
Molecule: long non-coding RNA, 201 nt
Filed under: Elaeis guineensis (African oil palm)
Lineage: Eukaryota; Viridiplantae; Streptophyta; Magnoliopsida; Arecales; Arecaceae
Description: long non-coding RNA (EGUI_LNC035836)
Source: RNAcentral